CGGUAACCUGUUGUGGACAGAUGUAAUGGACGUGUGCGUCGACAGCACCGGCGGUCACGAUGAGCUUCUCGCCUGCGAUCACCUCCGUGGCCGAGCCGACCACUAAACGCGGGUCCACGCCGGCCAUGACGUCUGGGUUGCCGGCCUUGCCUAUGCCUGCGAUCACCCCGUUCUUGAUGCCGAUGUCCGCCUGCGAGGACGAGCAUUCAGCGACAGGUGUUCCGCAGCGUGCAGGGAAGCCAUACCUUGUAGAUGCCAGACCAAUCAAUGAUGAGCGCAUUCGUGAUGACCAAGUCCAGGGUCUCCGAGGCCGGUCGAUUCGUGGCUUGGCCCAUGCCCUCG
RNAcentral lists this small RNA (342 nucleotides) under Trametes cinnabarina. Its description in RNAcentral is "Pycnoporus cinnabarinus 5' ureB small RNA". It matches the Rfam family "5' ureB small RNA". The record is from Rfam by way of RNAcentral. Lineage: Eukaryota; Fungi; Basidiomycota; Agaricomycetes; Polyporales; Polyporaceae.